RNAcentral lists this ribosomal RNA (248 nucleotides) under uncultured bacterium. RNAcentral describes it as "partial small subunit ribosomal RNA". It matches the Rfam family "Bacterial small subunit ribosomal RNA", at positions 26 to 286 of the family's 1533-position model. The record is from RNAcentral.
AGGACGAACGCUGGCGGCGUGCUUAACACAUGCAAGUCGAACGAGGUGCUUCGGCAUUUAGUGGCGAACGGGUGAGUAACACGUGAGCAACCUGCCCUUGGCUCUGGGAUAGCCUCCGGAAACGGGGAUUAAUACCGGACAUGACCUGCUCCUGCAUGGGGGCGGGUGGAAAGUUUUUCGGCCAGGGAGGGGCUCGCGGCCUAUCAGCUUGUUGGGGGGGUAACGCCCACCAAGGCGACGACGGGUAG